UGCUGUUACUUUACAAUAAAGCACCAAUCCAAUUAUUUAUUUUUUAUAAAAAAAAUAAAUUUGAAGAUACUCUUAAUAUCAAGCUCUAAGAGUAAAAUUCGCAUUAAUAAAGAAAUUACUUUAGAAAAGUUACCUUAAAAAUGUGGAACGCUUCACAAUAUUGCGGAAAUAAAGCGUUUGUUCUUUAUCGUAAAAUUUGAGCACUCUGAUUCAAUCUGUAAAAUUGGACAAGUUCCAAUUUUUCCGAAAACUUGCCACUAAUAAAUCUGCGGUUUUCUUGGGUCCUCAAAAUCUCAAAAUUUUCUCACGUCUUCUAUUACAGAAUGAURAAAAUUGYUGUUGCUUUGCAAUAAAGCUCCAAUCCAAUUAUUUAUUUCUUAUAAAAAAACAAACUUGAAUUGAGCAAGCUCUAUUGCAUCAAGCUCUAAGAGUAAAAUUCCCAUUAAUAAAGAAAUUAAUUUAGAAAAGUUGCCUUAAAAAUGUGGAACGCUUCACGAUCUUGCGGAAAUAAAGAAUCUGUUCUGUAUUAUUUGGGGCAAAAUACCUAAGAAAAAAAUUUUUAAAACAUGAAUCCGGCUCAACCAUAUAGAACAUCGAACUUGUCUAAACUAAGUAAGUAGGUAUGCAAAUAGUUCCAUUAUGUUCAUUAGAAGCUUAUUUUGACUUUUCUGCUGAAUAUAUUUUCACUCUUGUCCCGAACAAUUUUUCAAUGUAAAAAAAUUUAUAUUAUUUUGAAUGAAUUAGUAAGCCAUAUGGAAGGUGCAACUUAAACUCGAUUUUAACAAACUGUUGUAAAUAGAAAGACACUCUCAUUGGCCGAAAGAGGAUUAUCACGUUGCAAAUAAAAAUACUGAAAAAUCUGACUAGAGCCCGAAGAAAGUGAAUAAAAAGCAAGGAAAAUUGCAGAAACAUUCUCUGGCAGAGGUCGUCACUCUCUGGUAAACUAUUGCCAAAAAUCUCCGUGAUGGUACCGGAGGCGCUCAAGUUCAGUGACAGGACGUACUAUCAGUGGGUCAUCAAUGGACGGCGCGCGUCAUGACGCUCCGCCCCACCAUAAAACCGAACUCGUAUUUAAAGACCCCGGUACCAGUUUCUUAAGUUAUUCCGGUUCAUACUGUCGUAAGUUCGCCGUCUCUUCUACUACGCUCCAGUUGUCUUACACGAUCGAAAUAAAUUCACUUAUAAUUUUUUUUUAAAUAUUUUUUACCAUGGCUGGUCUUGAUCCUACUGGCAACUACUAGUGCCCUUUUUUAUUAGUGCAAAUUUUCUUCAUAUUUGAUUGUGAACGGUACUUUUCAAUUAAUACAAAAUGGCCAUUGGAAAACUCGACCCUACUGGACAGUACUAACCGGUUAAAGUGAAAACGACGAAAACUAACAGUGAUAGUGAAAAACAUUCUUAUUCCUUCAAUUUAAUUUUUCGCAAUGGCAGGCGGACUCGACCCCACUGGCCAAUAUUAGCAGACAUCAACAAUCCAGCGUUCCAGUGAUUUUUAAGUUUUCAAAUCAGCUACAAUGGAAAGAAAAGGAUUAGAUCCAACUGGCCAAUACUAAGAGCUAGAGAAUUUUACCAAAACCCAGUCUCAUUAACAAACUAGAAAUUUUGUUUUAAAAUGCACGGAAAAAUCUUAGAUCCGACGGGUGAAUAUUAGACCGCAUAAAACAGUAAACUUGAAACUCUAACAAAAUGGAAAGAAAAGGACUUGACCCUACCGGCCAAUAUUAAGCAGCAUUGCAGCCCUUGUGUUUAUUUUAACUUAAUAAUGGAGCAGAAAGGUCUGGACCCCACUGGCCAAUAUUAGGCAAAUUAUAAAAAUUGCACUGCCUUCCACGCACUACAAACAAUGGAAGGAAAAAAGCUGGACCCCACAGGCAAUUACUAAGAGCAUCCAAAUCGUUUCCUAGUCGAAAUCAUUUACAAGAUGCCUUCGUCCAAACGCCUGCAAAUUGUAAGCAGAAAGCAAACCCACCCAAAAAUAGACAGAAUCGACCAUACUUUCUACAGACUAAAAGAUUGGGGUCAUUCCGGACUCGUGUGGAAGUAGUUUGGGUUAGUUUUUAUAUAUACGACAAUUAUUCAAGCCAAGUUGUUGUAAAUUUACCAAACAACUCAGCUUUCUUCUGUCUUAAAACAAACUGUUCCUUCUGGAACUCCAGCAAUUCAGCCCAUCGACAACAAAAACUUCCGUCCAGUGAUUAUUCAAAUUAAUCUGCAAGAACAGUCAGAAUAAGUGAUGAUACAAGUGUUUUUUACUCUGAACUGUCCAGUGAUUUAUCACGAGCUUGCAAGCUCUCGAAGCUCCAAGUUCCACUGCAUUUUCCUGAUGUGGUGCCACCGCGACAAGGGAGACGGAGGUCCCCCAGAAACAUCCAGCAGCAGACGAAAUAGAUACUGAUAGAAUGGAUCUAAAUACAAUGUAACUACACUGCCACACGAGUUACCCAACCUAUCCGGAUGUUUAAAGACUGAUGUUUUGUUGAUUUUAGUAUUUUUAAGUUUGUUUUUAUUAAAUUAUAUAACUAGUUUAAGUCUAUUACACUUAAAGAUUGUAUGUAAUAUUAAAACUGCCUCUGCAAACAUCAAAAGGCAUUAACAUUGUAUUAUUCUAAAGUUCUGCCGAAAAAAUGGCGACAGGUUUUGAAAUACGCAGCUUAUUCGAGUUCAAAAUAUUCAUUAUAUAAUUGACUAUUUAGUAGGUAACUUUGUAUAUAAUAGUUUGUUGAAUGUACUGUUUUUUUUUCGUUGACAUGUUUUUCUGUUAACAUGGACAGGUGCUCUAAAAAUUGAAAAUUAUAAAAUUUGGCAAGUAUAAUACUGUAAAACAUGUCAGGCAAAACGAUUACGAGUAAAUUUGCGAAAAGAAAACAUUUAUAUUUACUAAUACAGCAAACUAAAUGUUGAAAUUUAAAAUAGCUACUCCAAUGUACGUGCAUAAAUAAAAAAAAACAUAUUUAGAGGCCUGUAUUGUGACAAUUUGCAUGUAUCACCAACCAAACAAUUAUUUUGUAAUAACCAUUUGGCUUGUUUUUCUAUCCAUACCUUGUACCUACAUGUUUACAUUUUUUUAAAAUAAAUUACUAUUUUAUA
This is a long non-coding RNA of Dendroctonus ponderosae (mountain pine beetle), 3087 nucleotides long. RefSeq lists it as uncharacterized. Lineage: Eukaryota; Metazoa; Arthropoda; Insecta; Coleoptera; Curculionidae. The record is from RefSeq and is a predicted model, not a curated record. The transcript has 3 exons.